GCGAAAGUGGCGGAAUUGGUAGACGCACUGGAUUUAGGUUCCAGCGCCGCAAGGCGUGAGAGUUCGAGUCUCUCCUUUCGCACCA
Molecule: transfer RNA, 85 nt
Filed under: Thiothrix sp.
Lineage: Bacteria; Pseudomonadati; Pseudomonadota; Gammaproteobacteria; Thiotrichales; Thiotrichaceae
Also listed under: 85 other names
Description: tRNA-Leu
Rfam family: tRNA
About the family: Transfer RNA (tRNA) molecules are approximately 80 nucleotides in length. Their secondary structure includes four short double-helical elements and three loops (D, anti-codon, and T loops).
Source: RNAcentral